RNAcentral lists this long non-coding RNA (1360 nucleotides) under Sinocyclocheilus anshuiensis. Its description in RNAcentral is "lncRNA (ENSSANG00000025539.1)". The record is from RNAcentral. Lineage: Eukaryota; Metazoa; Chordata; Actinopteri; Cypriniformes; Cyprinidae.
CAGCAGGAACUGGCCGACUGUCUGAAGAAGUUGUCCAUGUGUGAGGCUUCUCUGGAGGUCAACACACGGUACCGUAAUGAUCUGGAGGAAGAGAAGGCGCGCACACUCAAGGACAUGGACAGAUUGAAGGGAAAGCUGCAGGAGUCUGAGGAAGUGUACGUCCAGGCCGAGAGACGCAUUAGCCAGCUGAAGAGCUCUCUGGACGACAAGGAGCGAGAAGCCUGCAGUACCGCUCAGAAACUAGAGGAGGCGCUAGCUGCUUCCACAGGCAAAGAGCAAACCAUUAAACAGCUGGAGGAGGCGGUGCAGAGGUUAGAGAUCGAGAACGCCAGACUGGAGGCCACAGCCAAACAGCAGACCAACCGCAUCGAGGUGCUUCAGAAGGGCUUUCAGGAGGGCGCUGUGGUCAGGAAUCGUUUGGAAGAUAUUGUCACAAACCUGCAGAGCAGUAAGAUGACGCUAGAAGAACAACUCAACCGAGAGGUACAGAAGCAGAGUAUGCUAUCCCAUAAUGCCCAGGACUCACAAGCACUGUGGGAGGAGGAGCUAAAGAGCCGCUCACGACUGGGACUCCGCCUCUCUGAGCUGGAGAAAGAGAAAGGAGAACUGACCAAUCAGAUGGAGCUCGAGAAGAAAAAGGCCAAAAAACUAGCCGAGCAGAAGAAAUCUUUGGACACGCGUCUGGAGCAGGAGAUGAAGAGAAACACUGACCUUCAGAAAGAAAUGUACAGGUUGAAAACUCUGUUGAAGACCGCUAAGAAGCAGCUGCGUGAACAGGGCGGUGGACAGCUGGACUCUCCUCUGGGCAGCUUCAGAGGAGACAUGAGCCACCGGCUGGAGGCAGAGAGCGCCGUCAGCAGAAUGAAGACCCGGGUGGAUGAGCUGCAGUCUCAGUACGAGCGGGAGGCGUCGCGCUGCUCGCGGCUGGAGGAGGUGCUGGUCGCGGCUGGAGGAGGUGAACAGACAGCUGAAGGAGAAGCUGUCGUCUGUGAAGAGCCUGAGCCGAAGCUACGAGCAGCUGGAGCGCAGCAAGAGUCAGCUGGAGGAGGAGGUGGCCAGUCUGCGGCGGCAGCUGGAGGCCGGUGUGAUGGACCAGAGCCAGGCCGAGCAGUACCGCCGGGAGACGGAGGAAAGAGCCCGACAGGAGAUCCGACACAAACUAGAGGAGGUCAACCUCUUCCUGCAGACGCAGGCGGCGUCUCAGGAAGCUCUGGAGCAGAUGAAAGCUGCUAAUGAGGCCAGUCAGCGCACUCAGCAGGAGCAGCGCAUCAGGGAUCUGGAGGGAGAACUCAGCCGUUUACNNNNNNNNNNNNNNNNNNNNNNNNNNAGGACAGUCUCGUUCAGAGAGACUCCAGCCACA